This 497-nucleotide ribosomal RNA is filed under the name uncultured bacterium. RNAcentral's name for it is "partial 16S ribosomal RNA". It matches the Rfam family "Bacterial small subunit ribosomal RNA", at positions 28 to 507 of the family's 1533-position model. The record is from RNAcentral.
GAUGAACGCUGGCGGCGUGCCUAAUACAUGCAAGUCGAGCGAACAGAUGAGGAGCUUGCUCCUCUGACGUUAGCGGCGGACGGGUGAGUAACACGUGGAUAACCUACCUAUAAGACUGGGAUAACUUCGGGAAACCGGAGCUAAUACCGGAUAAUAUAUUGAACCGCAUGGUUCAAUAGUGAAAUACGGUUUUGCUGUCACUUCUAGAUGGAUCCGCGCCGCAUUAGCUAGUUGGUAAGGUAACGGCUUACCAAGGCAACGAUGCGUAGCCGACCUGAGAGGGUGGUCGGCGACACUGGAAGUGAGACACGGUCCAGACUCCUACGGGAGGCAGCAGUAGGGAAUCUUCCGCAAUGGGCGAAAGCCUGACGGAGCAACGCCGCGUGAGUGGUGAAGGUCUUCGGAUCGGAAAACUCUCUUAUUAGGGAAGAACAGAUGUGUAAGUAACUAUGGACGUCUUGACGGUACCUAAUCAGAAAGCCACGGCUAACUACGUG